RNAcentral lists this ribosomal RNA (424 nucleotides) under uncultured bacterium. Its description in RNAcentral is "bacterial SSU rRNA". It matches the Rfam family "Bacterial small subunit ribosomal RNA", at positions 355 to 776 of the family's 1533-position model. The record is from RNAcentral.
UGAGGAAUAUUGGUCAAUGGACGAGAGUCUGAACCAGCCAAGUAGCGUGAAGGAUGACUGCCCUAUGGGUUGUAAACUUCUUUUAUAUGGGAAUAAAGUAUUCCACGUGUGGGAUUUUGUAUGUACCAUAUGAAUAAGGAUCGGCUAACUCCGUGCCGGCAGCCGCGGUAAUACGGAGGAUCCGAGCGUUAUCCGGAUUUAUUGGGUUUAAAGGGAGCGUAGGUGGAUUGUUAAGUCAGUUGUGAAAGUUUGCGGCUCAACCGUAAAAUUGCAGUUGAAACUGGCAGUCUUGAGUACAGUAGAGGUGGGCGGAAUUCGUGGUGUAGCGGUGAAAUGCUUAGAUAUCACGAAGAACUCCGAUUGCGAAGGCAGCUCACUAGACUGCAACUGACACUGAUGCUCGAAAGUGUGGGUAUCAAACAGG